AAUAUGAUAUUACUGUUCCAUAAAUAUCAUUGUGUAAAAAACGUAAAGUUGGAUUUUCUUAUUGUGGAGAUAAGAAACAGCUCAAAUUUACAUUGUUUUGUACGUUACAAAUUAUAGGCUUAAAAUGUACGAAAUGUAACUUUGAAACGACACUAAUUUUUUACGCACGAUAAACCUCCACGACUUAGAUUAUAGAUUCCUAUACGACUCUCAGUAAAAAUUUAUCCGCACUCCAGAUAGUUAAAACUUCUGUCGACCGUAUUGAUCCAUCUGCACUCUUCGUAUGACGUCAAUAUCUGUUCAGUGCUGCUGCGCAGGUUUCUUUGUGUUACGUCAAUUCGUUUGUGACCGUUGCGCGAGUAAUGGCGCUUUGCAAUGGUGAUUUGCAGGAAAACAGUGCAGGAUGCUGUGAUUCGUUUCUUGUGGUCGGAGGUUAUGUUUGAUGCCUAUAUUUAUCAAAGAUUUAAUGCACAUUAUGGAGAAAGUGUUUUGUCACGAAGUGUGUUUGAAUGGGCACAAAAGUUCAAAGAAGAUCGCACAAGUGUUAUGAAAAAACAGCUGGACGCCCGUCCACAUCCACGAUGACAACAUUGAACGUGCUCAUGAACUUAUGCUCUAUGGAAUAGACGAGUGACACUGGAUAAUGUGGCAAAUCAUUUGCAAAUCAGCCACGGCUCUGCUUAUGCAAUAGUGCACGACAGAUUUGGAUUUUAAAAAGUUUGUGCGAGAUGGAUGCCGAAAAAGCUGAUGAAAAGGUGAAGACGACGAUGCAUUCGUGGUUCGCAGCUCAGCCCAAAACAUUUUUUAAUGAGAAAAUACAAAGGUCCUUCGGCAAAUGGACAAAGUGUAUACAGAAAUCGAGUGAUUAUGUCAAAAAAUGAUGUAUGUCUUUUUUGACAAUUGCUUAAAAUAAAUUCUACACCGACAGAGCGGGCUGUUAAUCUAGAGGCUGGAGUACAAAGAAGUGGCACAAUGAUGUGGGCUGAUGACAUUUAUAAUUAUCAAGGAAUCACCCCUACAUUCGCUCAGAAUUUUAAUGAAACUGUCCCUUGGGAAGGAAGAACUGAUACCUUGAUAUCACGGAUAUUUAUGUUUAGUAACCAGUAAUUCAGAGAUUGGUAUUCAUGGUUACUAUAACGAGGCUGUAGAAACGCACCCUUUCUUCUUUGCAAAUGGUCCUGUAUUUAUGUCUAAGCCGAAACUGGAACCUCUGAAUAAUUUAGAUUUAUUCUUGUUAUUUUCUAAAAUACUUAUCUACAGUAUACCAUAAGGAAUGAUACCGUAUCGCACCUAAUCAAGUGCCUUAAGAAACAUCAACAGGAUAUCACAGUAAUCCCUUAUCGACUGAUAUUUGUAGCCACUACAAUAUCUAUGACACUGGUAGUAAUUAUAAGAACAAUAAUGAUGUUCUAUAAGAGGAAAUGAUGAUUAGGAACAAAAACUUACAGGAGAUAUCAUGCGGUGGAUGGAUAAUAUGUAAAAAAUAUUAAGCAGUAUAUGAAUUUUCAUAUUGCGUAGAGAUAACAAAAUGAAUUUUAAAAAAUGUCGACACGGUAAUAAGAAAUAGCAUCGUGACAAAGAAUAUAUAAAGACAGUUUCAUUUUUUAUAAAUAAAAAUUUGUUGUUCCAGAUUUUGAAAUACAGUGAAACGUUUAAUUAGUAUCUUAAUAUCUUUAAAUAAUUAUUAUUUUAGAAUCAAUUGUAAUUGUAUCAUACGUACUUUUGAAUUCGUGCAAGAACAUAUGUAAUUUUGAAGUAGUUAUUAUUAGGAAACUGUUAGACGCGAACAGUAUGCGAAAAGUUAGUAUGCAGUGUAAUAAUUAUCAAUCAAAACACAAGAAUUAAAUUCUUGAGGAAAAAAUUUCCGGAAUUUCUUAUUUACAUGAUUAUAGAGAAAUCCAUAAUAAAAAGGAGCUGCUUUCUAAUACUUCGCUUCCUUGUAAUGCCUACGUUAACAAUAACGAGGUUCGACUUUUUGUUUUUAGAGGGAUACUGGAAAAUUUGGAAGUACAGUACCAUUGGGAAGAAAAUCACGAUAUUGAAAACGAUAUUUGCAAGUAAAUUUCCAAAAAAUCUGUUUUCAAAUUUUCGCUUUCUAUUUCACAUUAAAAGAAAGGGAGGGCUGCCUUCUUUUUCUGCAAGACAAAACAAACAUUCUGAAUCUCGUAUCAAUGAAUGAUGUCAAUAAGUUAUUUUUCUUUUCAGAU
This is a long non-coding RNA of Bombus huntii, 2207 nucleotides long. RefSeq lists it as uncharacterized. The transcript is spliced from 7 exons. The record is from RefSeq and is a predicted model, not a curated record. NCBI's taxonomy places the organism in Eukaryota, Metazoa, Arthropoda, Insecta, Hymenoptera, Apidae.